RNAcentral lists this RNase P RNA (263 nucleotides) under Deltaproteobacteria bacterium. RNAcentral describes it as "partial RNase P RNA component class A". It matches the Rfam family "Bacterial RNase P class A", at positions 117 to 367 of the family's 367-position model. From Rfam's summary of the family: Ribonuclease P (RNase P) is a ubiquitous endoribonuclease, found in archaea, bacteria and eukarya as well as chloroplasts and mitochondria. The record is from RNAcentral. RNAcentral also lists the same sequence under 1 other name. Lineage: Bacteria; Pseudomonadati; Myxococcota; Myxococcia.
GAAAGUAUACCGCCUCGCAGUGAUGCGAGGUAAGGGUGAAAAGGUGCGGUAAGAGCGCACCAGUUUCCCGGGUGACCGGGAAAGCUUUGUAAACCCCACCUGGUGCAAGACCAAAUAGGGGAGUGUUUGAGGACGGCCCGUCCAAGCUUCCGGGUAGGUCGCAGGAGAUUCCGGGCAACCGGCGUCCUGAGAUGAAUGAUCGUUACCCGGUUAGGGGUAACCCGAACCGGACACAGAAUUCGGCUUACGGGCUGCUUCGGCCG